CCUACGGGAGGCAGCAGUAGGGAAUUUUCGUCAAUGGGCGCAAGCCUGAACGAGCGAUGCCGCGUGAGUGAAGAAGGCCUUCGGGUCGUAAAGCUCUGUUGCGGGGGAAAAAAGGCAGCAUCAGGAAAUGGGUGCUGACUGAUGGUGCCCCGCCAGAAAGUCACGGCUAACUACGUGCCAGCAGCCGCGGUAAUACGUAGGUGGCGAGCGUUAUCCGGAAGGAUUGGGCGUAAAGGGUGCGCAGGCGGUCCUGCAAGUCUGGAGUGAAACGCAUGAGCUCAACUCAUGCAUGGCUUUGGAAACUGGAGGACUGGAGAGCAGGAGAGGGCGGUGGAACGCCAUGUGUAGCGGUAAAAUGCGUAGAUAUAGGGAAGAACACCAGUGGCGAAGGCGGCCGCCUGGCCUGUUGCUGACGCUGAGGCACGAAAGCGUGGGGAGCAAAUAGGAUUAGAUACCCUAGUAGUC
Molecule: ribosomal RNA, 465 nt
Filed under: uncultured bacterium
Lineage: Bacteria
Description: partial 16S ribosomal RNA
Rfam family: Bacterial small subunit ribosomal RNA
Source: RNAcentral